Gallus gallus (chicken) is the source of this 444-nucleotide long non-coding RNA. RefSeq lists it as uncharacterized. The record is from RefSeq and is a predicted model, not a curated record. NCBI's taxonomy places the organism in Eukaryota, Metazoa, Chordata, Aves, Galliformes, Phasianidae. The transcript has 3 exons.
GCCGUUGGCAACCGGCUUGGAAUCGCCCAGCUGUCCCCUCAGACGGCAGCCCGUGGCCGUCCCCUUCGCUGUGGGAUGCGGGGAUUUGGGGCGGCUGAAGGAGUCGGGGCCCCCACCGCUGUAGCGCUGCUGCCCCCAUUAGGACCUGGAACUCCGAGCCUCCAGCUCUGCUCGCGGUGCCCCCCAAGGCUGAGGUGGUCUGUUGCAGUCUGCAGUCUGCUGAUCCGAAAGAAAGAAGGCGGCUUUUGGAGGACUUAAUCAUGGCGAGUCGAGCUGCUGCUGAACCUCCCCUUCCAACAUCCAGCAGGUUUGUUCUGCAGGCCCCAAUGAUGGCACAGGCAUGAAAGAGCCCAGAGCUCGUCGCUGGGGAGAGGCUGCGUAUGGCGUUGUGAAGGGAGAGAUGGAGGAGGGGUUUGAGCAGCGCUGUGCAGGAAUGAACGGCUG